UCCCUAGAGGACUAGUGGUUAGGCCAUGGUGCUCUCACUGCCACGGCCCGGCCAGUUUGAUUCCCGGCCAGGGAU
This 75-nucleotide transfer RNA is filed under the name Pangasianodon gigas (Mekong giant catfish). Its description in RNAcentral is "tRNA-Glu". Lineage: Eukaryota; Metazoa; Chordata; Actinopteri; Siluriformes; Pangasiidae. The record is from RNAcentral.